Long non-coding RNA from Salvia miltiorrhiza (redroot sage), 365 nucleotides. RefSeq lists it as uncharacterized. The record is from RefSeq and is a predicted model, not a curated record. Lineage: Eukaryota; Viridiplantae; Streptophyta; Magnoliopsida; Lamiales; Lamiaceae. The transcript is spliced from 2 exons.
GAUCUGCGUGAGGUAGAGAAUGUCAGGGAAAGGAGCAAAUGGGUUGUUGACGUGGAAAACUCCGGCUUCGAAAGACAAGGAUAAGGACAAGAAGAAACCCAUCACUCGCUCUUCCCGCGCCGGGCUUUAGAAAGACAAUAUAAGGAAUCAACGUGAGCAUGUUGUGCUUACUUUAGCCAACUCACAGUCGCGACUGGGCAUCCAAUAGAAACUGAUCUAGUUACUGCCUCAAUUAAGUUUGCUUGUAAGUUAUGUUUCAAUGUAAUAUAGGAUGAUGAGCAAUGUUUCAAUGUAAUAUAGGAUGAUGAACAAUGUUUCAAUAGGAUGAUGUUUGAUUUUAAUGUAUGAAUUCUAUUAUUAAUUUA